ACUUCCUACGGGGCGCAGCAGUGGGGAAUAUUGGGCAAUGGGCGCAAGCCUGACCCAGCAACGCCGCGUGAAGGAAGAAGGCUUUCGGGUCGUAAAGCUCUGUUGCGGGGGAAAAAAGGCAGCAUCAGGAAAUGGGUGCUGACUGAUGGUGCCCCGCCAGAAAGUCACGGCUAACUACGUGCCAGCAGCCGCGGUAAUACGUAGGUGGCGAGCGUUAUCCGGAAUGAUUGGGCGUAAAGGGUGCGCAGGCGGUCCUGCAAGUCUGGAGUGAAACGCAUGAGCUCAACUCAUGCAUGGCUUUGGAA
RNAcentral lists this ribosomal RNA (305 nucleotides) under uncultured bacterium. Its description in RNAcentral is "bacterial SSU rRNA". It matches the Rfam family "Bacterial small subunit ribosomal RNA", at positions 334 to 631 of the family's 1533-position model. The record is from RNAcentral.